This 1034-nucleotide ribosomal RNA is filed under the name Epistominella sp. 1 BBL-2009. Its description in RNAcentral is "SSU rRNA". It matches the Rfam family "Eukaryotic small subunit ribosomal RNA", at positions 1160 to 1828 of the family's 1831-position model. The record is from RNAcentral. RNAcentral also lists the same sequence under 1 other name. Lineage: Eukaryota; Foraminifera; Rotaliida; Pseudoparrellidae.
AAGGGCACCACAAGAACGCGUGGAGCAUGUGGCUUAAUUUGACUCAACGCGGGAAAUCUUACCGGGUCCGGACACACUGAGGAUUGACAGGCAAUAUUAAUAUUUUUCUGUUUACAGUAAUUUAUUAUGUUAAAUAUGCUAGUCCUUUCAUGAUUAUGUGAUAGGUGGUGCAUGGCCGUUCUUAGUUCGUGGAGUGAUCUGUCUGCUUAAUUGCGUUUCACUAAGGGCCUAUAAUUUACUUGUGUUGCGGCACUUUGACCCCUCAUUUUUUUUAAUUAAAUUAUGAGCGCGCGUCUUAGUUUGUUUAGCUCACACAAUUAGGUCCUGAAAGCAACGAACGUGACCGCAACCUCUUGUUGCCUUUAUACCAAACAUGAGUUUAACUCUCUUCGGAGGGUUUUCAUGAAAAAAGGCUUUUUAAACUAGAGGGACCGCUGUUACUUUCUUAAACCAGAGGAAGGUUGCGGCAAUAACAGGUCUGUGAUGCCCUUAGAUGUUCCGGGCUGCACACGUGCUACAAUGAUUAUUGCAGUGAGCAUCUCAUUUUUUACACACCGCAUACGCGAGUCUAUUUAUUCACUUUCGGGUGCUUUAAAUGUGAUCUCUGCGAGCGGUAAAGCCUGCUUCGAAAGUAAGUGGGUAAUCAAUUAGAAGUAAUGAUUUCCUUUUUUUUAGCACACAUAUAUACGGCGUUUAUACCCGGGCUGCACUUGUUGUAGCUUUUGUGCGUAUAGAUGUUUUUUCCGUAUGUGCGAUUGUCAAUUCAUGGUGGGGACAGACCAUUGUUAAUUGUUGGUCUCGGUCUUAACUAGGAAUGCCUUGUACGGGUCUUUGGUUCAACAAACCACCCGGAAUACGUCCCUGCCCUUUGUACACACCGCCCGUCGCUCUUACCGAUGGACUUCUCUGUGAGUUUGAGGGACUGGGAACGCAGAUUUUUAUCUGCACACCUAUGGAAACUUAAACGAACAGUGUGGUCUAAAGGAAAGAGAAGUCGUAACAAGGCAUCGGUAGGUGAACCUGCAGAAGGAUCA